RNAcentral lists this ribosomal RNA (535 nucleotides) under uncultured stramenopile. RNAcentral's name for it is "LSU rRNA". It matches the Rfam family "Eukaryotic large subunit ribosomal RNA", at positions 720 to 1236 of the family's 3401-position model. The record is from RNAcentral.
UGUAGGUCAACUCAGGUAGGACGGGUGGGUCUAACUUGUUAGGCUGCCCCGCACUAUCGACCGGCCAUGAUCCUCUGGAAAAAGGUCUGAGUGUGAGCAUAUAUGUUGGGACCCGAAAGAUGGUGAACUAUGCCUGAAUAGGGUGAAGCCAGGGGAAACUCUGGUGGAGGCUCGUAGCGAUUCUGACGUGCAAAUCGAUCGUCAAAUUUGGGUAUAGGGGCGAAAGACUAAUCGAACCAUCUAGUAGCUGGUUCCCUCCGAAAUUUCCCUCAGGAUAGCAGUAACUCGGUCAACACAGUUUUAUCAGGUAAAGCGAAUGAUUAGAGGACUCGGGGAAGAAACUUCCUUGACCUAUUCUCAAACUUUAAAUGGGUAAGAGCACGGGGUUACUUAAUUGAACCCUGCUGUAGAAUGUGAGUUGCUAGUGGGCCAUUCCGGGUAAGCUGGACUGGCGAUGCGGGAUGAUCCGAACGUCAAGUUAAAGUGCCAAAGUGUUCGCUCACCUAGAUCCCAUAAAAGGUGUUGGUUCAUCUAG